Non-coding RNA from Cinara cedri, 1168 nucleotides. Lineage: Eukaryota; Metazoa; Arthropoda; Insecta; Hemiptera; Aphididae. The record is from the annotation of a GenBank genome assembly.
GUGUACACCACACUCGUGUUUUCCAUAUACGGCGCUAUCGUCAUUAAAGAUUUUCAUAUAGAUAAGGAUGAUAUCAAUAGCAUAAUUCCUGAUUCAAUUCAUUUUCCGAAAGGAUUAUCGCAUUUUUUUAUCGUUGAAAAAUGGAAAUAUUGAAUAUUUAAAUAACACUUAAUCAUUGGCCAAUAUGGUUUUGUUCAACGAUUAUUACGAGCCAUAUGCUGAUAUUUGUUGAGAUAUUAUAUAAAUUAAUAUCGGUUUUUUACCGAGUUAUUAUUUAUACAAAAUAUGUAUUUAAUAAUGAUUUUUGUCGUUCAGUUCUCGCCCAUUGUACACCACACUCGUGUUUUCCAUAUACGGCGGAAGACAUAAUUUAUGAAAAAUGUCAAGAUUUUUUAUUUCAAUGGAGCCUAAAAUUGAUAGAUUGUACUCGAUUCUAUUUUACCGGAUAGUGGGACUUGAAUUUUGCACCAUAUUAAAAUAUUUUAUUUGAAUGCUCUAAACAAAUAAACAUAUGACGUUUAAUUUUCUUUUAAUAUAAAAUUAAAAAAAAAAGGAAAUUAAUGUCACGAGAGAGUUAUAUAUUCCCAAUAAUAUGGUUUCUGUGCUAUGUUUUGUAGGACCAUUUAUUGUCAAUCGAAAGUCUGAAAAGGUAAUAAAAAAAAUUCUCCCAUGGUGUUAAAUUGAAAAAUUUAUUUUCGGUUGCUCUCGACAAGUGCACACCACACUCGUGUUUUCCAUAUACGGCGGAAGACAUAAUUUAUGAAAAAUGUCAAGAUUUUUUAUUUCAAUGGAGCCUAAAAUUGAUAGAUUGUACUCGAUUCUAUUUUAACGGAUAGUUGUACUUGAAUUUUGCACCAUAUUAAAAUAUUUUAUUUAAAUGCUCUAAACAAAUAAACAUAUGACGUUUAAUUUUCUUUUAAUAUAAAAUUAAAAAAAAAAGGAAAUUAAUGUCACGAGAGAGUUAUAUAUUCCCAAUAAUAUGGUUUCUGUGCUACGUUUUGUAGGACCAUUUAUUGUCAAUCGAAUGUCUGAAAAGGGAAUAAAAAAAAUUCUCACAUGGUGUUAAAUUGAAAAAUUUAUUUUCGGUUGCUCUCGACAAGUGUACACCACACUCGUGUUUUCCAUAUACGGCGGAAGACAUAAUUUAUGAAAAAUGUCAAGAUUUUUU